AGGUAUUCCCAAAAAGCUACGUCAAAAUUUGCAUCUAGGAGGCUGACCAAUAAUCUGGGCGAGUAACAACAAGGAAAAGACAGUUAGCAGCUGCACACUGUUAUCAUUACUUUGAUACUGCUUAAAGGAAUCUAAACCUUCCACAGACCUUUCAUUGAACAGAGUCAGCAACAAUGAAAACACAAGGUUUGAAACAUUGCUGUCCGCUUGCCAAAAUUUACUCUACAAUUUAAGUAAACCCUCUGCUACUUAAUGUCUGAUAUUUUCUUU
Molecule: long non-coding RNA, 270 nt
Organism: Mauremys mutica (yellowpond turtle)
Lineage: Eukaryota; Metazoa; Chordata; Testudines; Geoemydidae
Exons: 3
Source: RefSeq, a predicted model, not a curated record